GAGCUUUUCCAGAGGAAGGGCGAUGAGAAGAGUCGCAGCUGAAUAGUGGGAGAAAAAGCCUGGUAUUUAUUGCUUUUGUUUGGCUUUUGGCUACAGAGACAGGAACCUUCUAAUGGGGAGACAAAUUUGGUUGGUAGGCCAAAGAGCUCACAAGGACCAACACCCCUCCCCCCUUCGAGGGUCAGGAAUCAGCUUGAAGCACAAGGAUCUUCAUUUACUAGGUUCAGUGAAGGUCUCUGCAGAGCAACCCAGGGAAGACCCUAUGACAAGGAAAAUGUAGCAAGCCCUUAUAUGCAGGAUGAUAAGACGGAGCCAUGCAUGGUAGAGCUGGCCUGUGACCCCAGGACUCGAGGUGCUGAGGCAGAAGGAUUGCUGCAAGCUUAAGGACAACCUGGGCUACAUACCAUCCGCCUCACACAAUGGACUGAAAAGCA
This 434-nucleotide long non-coding RNA is filed under the name Rattus norvegicus (Norway rat). RNAcentral describes it as "long non-coding RNA NONRATT011161". Lineage: Eukaryota; Metazoa; Chordata; Mammalia; Rodentia; Muridae. The record is from RNAcentral.